RNAcentral lists this ribosomal RNA (313 nucleotides) under uncultured bacterium. RNAcentral's name for it is "bacterial SSU rRNA". It matches the Rfam family "Bacterial small subunit ribosomal RNA", at positions 28 to 334 of the family's 1533-position model. The record is from RNAcentral.
GAUAAACGCUGGCGGCGCACAUAAGACAUGCAAGUCGAACGGACUUAACCAUUAGUUUACUAUUGGAGCGGUUAGUGGCGGACUGGUGAGUAACACGUAAGCAACCUGCCUAUCAGAGGGGAACAACAGUUAGAAAUGACUGCUAAUACCGCAUAUACCUAAGUAUCGCAUGGUACAAUAGAAAAGGAGCAAUCCGCUGAUAGAUGAGCUUGCGUCUGAUUAGUUAGUUGGUGAGGUAACGGCCCACCAAGACGAUGAUCAGUAGCCGGACUGAGAGGUUGAACGGCCACAUUGGGACUGAGAUACGGCCCAG